This 1521-nucleotide ribosomal RNA is filed under the name uncultured bacterium. RNAcentral describes it as "bacterial SSU rRNA". It matches the Rfam family "Bacterial small subunit ribosomal RNA". The record is from RNAcentral.
UAGAGUUUGAUCCUGGCUCAGGACGAACGCUGGCGGCGUGCCUAACACAUGCAAGUCGAGCGGGUAGGUGCUUUAAUGAACCUUCGGGUGAUUUAAAGUACCGAAAGCGGCGGACGGGUGAGUAACGCGUGGGAAACCUGCCCUAUGCAGGGGGAUAGCCUCGGGAAACCGGGAUUAAUACCCCAUAAAACUCUAACACUGCAUGGUGUGUGAGUCAAAGCUUUAGCGGCAUAGGAUGGUCCCGCGUCCCAUUAGCUAGUUGGUGAGGUAACGGCUCACCAAGGCGACGAUGGGUAGCCGGCCUGAGAGGGUGGACGGCCACACUGGGACUGAGACACGGCCCAGACUCCUACGGGAGGCAGCAGUGGGGAAUAUUGCACAAUGGGCGAAAGCCUGAUGCAGCGACGCCGCGUGAGCGAUGAAGGCCUUCGGGUCGUAAAGCUCUGUCCUCAGGGAAGAAGUCUCUUUGUGUGAACAAUGCGAAGAGGUGACGGUACCUGAGGAGGAAGCCCCGGCUAACUACGUGCCAGCAGCCGCGGUAAAACGUAGGGGGCAAGCGUUGUCCGGAAUUACUGGGCGUAAAGCGCGUGUAGGCGGGCUGUUAAGUCAGAUGUGAAAACCUAUGGCUCAACCAUAGGAUUGCAUCUGAUACUGACAGUCUUGAGGGCAGGAGAGGAGAGCGGAAUUCCUAGUGUAGCGGUGAAAUGCGUAGAUAUUAGGAGGAACACCAGUGGCGAAGGCGGCUCUCUGGACUGACCCUGACGCUGAGACGCGAAAGCGUGGGGAGCGAACAGGAUUAGAUACCCUGGUAGUCCACGCCGUAAACGAUGGGUACUAGGUGUUGGAGGUAUCGACCCCUUCAGUGCUGUAGCUAACGCGAUAAGUACCCCGCCUGGGGAGUACGGCCGCAAGGCUGAAACUCAAAGGAAUUGACGGGGGCCCGCACAAGCGGUGGAGCAUGUGGUUUAAUUCGACGCAACCCGAAGAACCUUACCAGGGCUUGACAUCCCUCUGACCGGUCUGGAGACAGGCCUUUCCUUCGGGACAGAGGUGACAGGUGGUGCAUGGUUGUCGUCAGCUCGUGUCGUGAGAUGUUGGGUUAAGUCCCGCAACGAGCGCAACCCCUAUCCUUAGUUGCCAGCGGGUGAAGCCGGGCACUCUGGGGAGACUGCCGGUGACAAACCGGAGGAAGGUGGGGAUGACGUCAAAUCAUCAUGCCCCUUAUGUCCUGGGCUACACACGUGCUACAAUGGCCUGUACAGAGGGCAGCGAAACCGCGAGGUGGAGCGAAUCCCAAAAAGCAGGUCUCAGUUCGGAUUGCAGUCUGCAACUCGACUGCAUGAAGUCGGAAUCGCUAGUAAUCGCGGGUCAGCAAACCGCGGUGAAUACGUUCCCGGGCCUUGUACACACCGCCCGUCACACCACGAAAGUCGACAACACCCGAAGCCGGUGAGCCAACCGCAAGGAGGCAGCCGUCGAAGGUGGGGUCGAUGAUUGGGGUGAAGUCGUAACAAGGUAACC